Molecule: ribosomal RNA, 418 nt
Filed under: uncultured bacterium
Lineage: Bacteria
Description: bacterial SSU rRNA
Rfam family: Bacterial small subunit ribosomal RNA
Source: RNAcentral
AACGAACGCUGGCGGCAUGCCUAACACAUGCAAGUCGAACGAAGUCUUCGGACUUAGUGGCGCACGGGUGCGUAACGCGUGGGAAUCUGCCCUUGGGUGCGGAAUAACUUCUCGAAAGGGAUGCUAAUACCGCAUAAUGUCGUAAGACCAAAGAUUUAUCGCCCAAGGAUGAGCCCGCGUAAGAUUAGCUAGUUGGUGGGGUAAAAGCCUACCAAGGCGACGAUCUUUAGCUGGUCUGAGAGGAUGAUCAGCCACACUGGGACUGAGACACGGCCCAGACUCCUACGGGAGGCAGCAGUGGGGAAUAUUGGACAAUGGGCGAAAGCCUGAUCCAGCAAUGCCGCGUGAGUGAUGAAGGCCCUAGGGUUGUAAAGCUCUUUUACCAGGGAUGAUAAUGACAGUACCUGGAGAAUAAGCU